UCUACCCAGCCCUUUAUAGAAUCCUUAUAACCCGUGAGAAGAGAUAACCCAUUACAGGGGGAAAAGUAAUAGAAGUUUUGCUUCGCCCUAACCAGGCGGAAAAAGGUGACAAACAGACAGGCCGUGGGUGUAAAACCCCAACCCAGACAGAUACACUCAAAACAAGACAUGAACAAAAUAGAGUUUGGGGAUAACAUCCGAGGAGUUACCCCGAAGUAUUCGAAGACCUCAGUAAAGAAAGGGGAAAAAGGAAAUGGCAGACCGAAUUCCCUUUGCUUUAGAAAGAACACUAUACGGCGAUUCUCUUGGGGAUCGAUCAAACCAGGAG
RNAcentral lists this long non-coding RNA (328 nucleotides) under Manihot esculenta (cassava). Its description in RNAcentral is "long non-coding RNA (MESC_LNC003172)". The record is from RNAcentral. Lineage: Eukaryota; Viridiplantae; Streptophyta; Magnoliopsida; Malpighiales; Euphorbiaceae.